This is a long non-coding RNA of Platichthys flesus (European flounder), 306 nucleotides long. RefSeq lists it as uncharacterized. The record is from RefSeq and is a predicted model, not a curated record. The transcript has 3 exons. Lineage: Eukaryota; Metazoa; Chordata; Actinopteri; Pleuronectiformes; Pleuronectidae.
UCAUUAACGUCAAUAACUUGGACCGACCAGUUUGUUUUGCUUGAUGAAGAGCAGGAAGGGCAGCCUGGAGAGAAAGAGAAGCCGGGUUGAGCCCACUACCAUCAUCCACGUACCACGAGGAAGAUGAGGGAGAGAAAUGAUCCUACCAUUAAAGAGACUGUGAAAAGAACGUUGAGAACAUCACCAUUCUACAGGAAGACACAGUCCAGUAAUGGGUGUCAGAAGUUCAGUAGUGAACGACAGGAAGGACUGAUGCAUGUACUGAGAUGGGACGUGAGGGCCUACUCUGCGUGCUCAGAGUUCAAG